RNAcentral lists this non-coding RNA (204 nucleotides) under Streptomyces sp. NRRL WC-3618. RNAcentral describes it as "Bacterial large subunit ribosomal RNA". It matches the Rfam family "Bacterial large subunit ribosomal RNA", at positions 380 to 585 of the family's 2925-position model. Lineage: Bacteria; Bacillati; Actinomycetota; Actinomycetes; Kitasatosporales; Streptomycetaceae. The record is from Rfam by way of RNAcentral.
AAACAUCAACGGCUCGUUUGAGAGACACCCAAGUAGCACGGGGCCCGAGAAAUCCCGUGUGAAUCUGGCGGGACCACCCGUUAAGCCUAAAUAUUCCCUGGUGACCGAUAGCGGAUAGUACCGUGAGGGAAUGGUGAAAAGUACCGCGGGAGCGGAGUGAAAUAGUACCUGAAACCGUGUGCCUACAAGCCGUGGGAGCGUCGC